Molecule: long non-coding RNA, 397 nt
Organism: Hemiscyllium ocellatum (epaulette shark)
Lineage: Eukaryota; Metazoa; Chordata; Chondrichthyes; Orectolobiformes; Hemiscylliidae
Exons: 2
Source: RefSeq, a predicted model, not a curated record
UCAGAUUGGAAGCAUGACCCGAGGAGAUAGACCCUCAGCAGAAUUAGAGUUUGAAAAUGGAAGUAUUGCCACAACAGAAACCAGAUCCUUACAGCAAUCCCAGAGGUUACAACAUCAACAGAGAUCUCAGAGGGAAAAGCAGCUGGGGAUCAUUUAUUGAAACUUCCAACCAUUCUGGGAUCUCCAACAGCUUCUGAAUGCUGCAGCCUAAAACAAAACGAGAAACCCUCGUCUGGGAGAGCUGGCCACUGCCCUUUCAUUGUUCCCACCGUUUUAAUGAAACCUAAAAUCUCAGUUAUUUACUUAAACUGUUUUCAGACAGCAGUUCUGCACCUCUGCCUUUAAAACCUCUCUUCAAAAAAAAACACAAGAGAAAAUAAACGUUUUACAAUGAUAA